UGUUCUAUGGCCGAACUGGUAAAGGCAUUGCCGAUCACAGGCAAGGCAAGGUUGCGGGUUCGAGUCCCGCUGGAACAG
RNAcentral lists this transfer RNA (78 nucleotides) under Operophtera brumata (winter moth). It matches the Rfam family "tRNA". From Rfam's summary of the family: Transfer RNA (tRNA) molecules are approximately 80 nucleotides in length. Their secondary structure includes four short double-helical elements and three loops (D, anti-codon, and T loops). The record is from Rfam by way of RNAcentral. Lineage: Eukaryota; Metazoa; Arthropoda; Insecta; Lepidoptera; Geometridae.